Long non-coding RNA from Canis lupus familiaris (dog), 757 nucleotides. RefSeq lists it as uncharacterized. The transcript has 2 exons. NCBI's taxonomy places the organism in Eukaryota, Metazoa, Chordata, Mammalia, Carnivora, Canidae. The record is from RefSeq and is a predicted model, not a curated record.
AGGUCCCACCGUGCCCAGGAGCGGCGCCUGCGGGCGACCCGGACGGCCUGGGCUCUCCAUGGGCUCGAGGAACCACACCGGGCUCCCUGGCGGCGCCGCCAGGCAGAGUCGGAGGCGAGAUCACCCGAGUUCCCCGGGCUCCCGUGGCCUGACCUCACCCAUACCUCGCCGCGUCCUCCAGGUCGCUGUCAAGCCGCCCACGCUGCGAACCCGCCAUCGCCGCGUCCGCUCUAGGAAACUGGGAGGAUUGCUCGGCUCUAUGAUUGUCCUAGAUUUGUUGCUUUGUGGAGUCUUACCAAAGAUGUUGCCUUCUGAGGCUGAGAAGUCAGCUUGGACUCUAACUGUUUGAUCAGUCAGCCAAAACACGACCCUAGGCCCAGCUGUGGUCCACACCAGCUGACACUGAAGAGGUUCCUCUCAGUAAGGUAAAAGGAAUUCAGAGGUUUCCAGAGAUACCAGGAGUGAUAAUACAGGCAUGGGAAAUGAUAGGAGAUUCUCAAGAAUGAAACUGAUAGGUCACUCACCAAUACUCUACCUGAUUUCUAUUUCCUAUUACAUUUCUUUUUAGGGGAAACUAGGCCAAACUAACACAUGACUUAGGCAUAGAUUCUAAUCUUUUUUGGGUAAUAUAACUACUUUGAGAAUAUAAUAAAAACUACAGAUCUCUUCCUCAGGAAGUUAGAGGAAAGACUUAUAUGUGAAAUUUUGCUUAUCAUGUAUUAUAUUGUAUUCAAAAUUAAUUUCUUUUGAUAGACCA